UACGGAGGGUGCGAGCGUUGUUCGGAAUCACUGGGCGUAAAGGGCGCGUAGGUGGCGCGGCAAGUCAACGGUGAAAGCUCGACGCUCAACGUCGAGUCGGCCGUCGAUACUGCUGGGCUUGAGCACUGUAGAGGCAGAUGGAAUUCCGGGUGUAGCGGUGGAAUGCGUAGAGAUCCGGAAGAACACCGGUGGCGAAGGCGGUCUGCUGGGCAGUAGCUGACACUGAGGCGCGACAGCGUGGGGAGCAAACAGG
RNAcentral lists this ribosomal RNA (253 nucleotides) under uncultured bacterium. RNAcentral's name for it is "partial 16S ribosomal RNA". It matches the Rfam family "Bacterial small subunit ribosomal RNA", at positions 524 to 776 of the family's 1533-position model. The record is from RNAcentral.